CGGGGUGUGGCGCAGUCGGCUAGCGUGCUUGUCUGGGGGACAAGAGGCCGUGGGUUCAAGUCCCACCACUCCGACCA
Molecule: transfer RNA, 77 nt
Filed under: Oscillospiraceae bacterium
Lineage: Bacteria; Bacillati; Bacillota; Clostridia; Eubacteriales; Oscillospiraceae
Description: tRNA-Pro
Rfam family: tRNA
About the family: Transfer RNA (tRNA) molecules are approximately 80 nucleotides in length. Their secondary structure includes four short double-helical elements and three loops (D, anti-codon, and T loops). Further hydrogen bonds mediate the characteristic L-shaped molecular structure. tRNAs have two regions of fundamental functional importance: the anti-codon, which is responsible for specific mRNA codon recognition, and the 3' end, to which the tRNAs corresponding amino acid is attached (by aminoacyl-tRNA synthetases). tRNAs cope with the degeneracy of the genetic code in two manners: having more than one tRNA (with a specific anti-codon) for a particular amino acid; and 'wobble' base-pairing, i.e. permitting non-standard base-pairing at the 3rd anti-codon position.
Source: RNAcentral